Molecule: ribosomal RNA, 254 nt
Filed under: uncultured bacterium
Lineage: Bacteria
Description: partial 16S ribosomal RNA
Rfam family: Bacterial small subunit ribosomal RNA
Source: RNAcentral
UACGUAGGGUGCAGGCGUUUAAUCGGAAUUACUGGGCGUAAAGCGUGCGCAGGCGGUGAUGUAAGACAGGUGUGAAAUCCCCGGGCUUAACCUGGGAACUGCAUUUGUGACUGCAUCGCUGGAGUGCGGCAGAGGGGGAUGGAAUUCCGCGUGUAGCAGUGAAAUGCGUAGAUAUGCGGAGGAACACCGAUGGCGAAGGCAAUCCCCUGGGCCUGCACUGACGCUCAUGCACGAAAGCGUGGGGAGCAAACAGG